Long non-coding RNA from Pieris brassicae (large cabbage white), 1236 nucleotides. RefSeq lists it as uncharacterized. Lineage: Eukaryota; Metazoa; Arthropoda; Insecta; Lepidoptera; Pieridae. The record is from RefSeq and is a predicted model, not a curated record. The transcript is spliced from 3 exons.
CACAGUAGCUGCGAGCGACAUCGCGUUGCGUGGAAAUUACGUGUGAGGCCGUUUCAACUGUUCUACUAUUCAUAAUUUAUGAGCAUUAUUUUUGACGUGUUAACAUUAUUGUGCAUUAGCUUUAUGGGAACUUUGACGAAGUAUUCAAUAGUGUGCUUUUCAUAUGAUAAAUUGCACUUUAGCAACAUAUAUUUUCUUUUAUAAAAUAUAUACGUAAAUGUUGGCUUUUAUGGCUUUUUGUAACUCGUAGCUGUGCCUUCGUUUGCAGUUAGCUUGGAGCGGUUAUAAUUUCUUAUUUGUCUAGCAAAGCUCACUCAUUAAGAUGUCUGCAAGAUAAGUAAAUAAAAAUAUUCUCCUAGACUAUUCUAUUUUCGUCAAUAUUUGAUUGCAAAUAUUAAAAAGCACAACUGACAUAUGACUUGACAAAUACUGGUUUUUAACAUAGGACGCGCUUUACACCUGAACACGUGAAUAUAAUAAAACCGGUGUGUACAUUCAAACACAUUUGCCAGAAGUUGAAAAAUAAAUAACAAAAUUAAUCUAUUUGUCAACCCGAAGGGAGAGGAUUCCAAUUCGUAUUAAGACUAUAAUCUCAUGGAAGUGGGUGUGGGAAGACAACGUCGUACAUAUUUUAAACGGGUACGCCUCCAUUCGCACAAAGGCGUAAUUUAUUGUACCGCGUGGAGACGGGCUGCUGAGUUAUGUCUCAGCGAUAGCGACGCUUUUAACUAUCUAAUGGAGCGAUUUACUGAGAGCACCUUGUGCCUAUUUACCCGUAUUUACAAUGGGGCAUGCAUUUAAUUGGUAGCGAUGAUUUGUUGUAACCUUAGUUUAAGCUAUUCAUUAGUAUUGUAGAAAAUUCAACAUAAUAUUACUUAUUAGCCAUAAUUAUUGUAUAGGCUAGAUUGUCAUUAAUAUAAAGUAGCACUUUUUGUGAGCUUUAUUGUAUAAAAAAAACGAAUAACAUAAGGAAUUUAGUAUUUAUUUAUGAUGGAACAAACAGGCAGUAGGAUCACCUGAUGUUUUGUAACAAGCCCAUGGACACUCGGAUUGUCAAAGAGCACGGCGUUUCUGUUGAAAGCCUAGUGGUUAAGCGUAUGAUUGUCAACUAUCUUGCUUCCGAAACCCAGAAGCGGUCGAAUUAUUUUGUCUAUUAGCUUGUACGGAUAACAGGAGGACAAAUUCGUAACUGGUGUGUCUUAGAUCCCUACUGUAAAGUAAAUAAUUAAAAAUGUG